UACGAAGGGUGCAAACGUUGCUCGGAAUUAUUGGGCGUAAAGAGCUCGUAGGCGGUUUGUCGCGUCUGCUGUGAAAUCUGGAGGCUCAACCUCCAGCCUGCAGUGGGUACGGGCAGACUAGAGUGCGGUAGGGGAGAAUGGAAUUCCUGGUGUAGCGGUGGAAUGCGCAGAUAUCAGGAGGAACACCGAUGGCGAAGGCAGUUCUCUGGGCCGUAACUGACGCUGAGGAGCGAAAGCGUGGGGAGCGAACAGG
RNAcentral lists this ribosomal RNA (253 nucleotides) under uncultured bacterium. RNAcentral describes it as "partial 16S ribosomal RNA". It matches the Rfam family "Bacterial small subunit ribosomal RNA", at positions 524 to 776 of the family's 1533-position model. The record is from RNAcentral.